This 395-nucleotide unclassified non-coding RNA is filed under the name soil metagenome. RNAcentral describes it as "partial contains 5.8S ribosomal RNA, internal transcribed spacer 2, and large subunit ribosomal RNA". The stretch from base 1 to 120 matches the Rfam family "5.8S ribosomal RNA", at positions 35 to 154 of the family's 154-position model. The record is from RNAcentral.
GAUGAAGAACGUAGCGAAAUGCGAUAAGUAAUGUGAAUUGCAGAAUUCAGUGAAUCAUCGAAUCUUUGAACGCACCUUGCGCCUUUUGGUAUUCCGAAAGGCACACCUGUUUGAGCGUCAUGAAUACCUCAAUCUCCAUCUUUUCUUCGGAUUGAUGGGUGACUUGGAUGUUGAGCCCUGCUGGUAUGCUAUAUCAGCUGGCUUUAAACUUAUUAGCCGGCUCUGUACUGGAUCGGUUUGACUCGACGUGAUAAUAUUAUCGUUGAGGAUGCAUGUCUCAUGCAGCCGGAAAGUAUCAAAGCAUCUUCUAGCUUGCCUUUAGUGCACUUUUACAUUUUAGACCUCAGAUCAGGUGGGACUACCCGCUGAACUUAAGCAUAUCAAUAAGCGGAGGA